GCUGGGUGUAGUGGCUCACACCUGUAGUCCCAGCUACUUGGGAGGCUGAGGUGGGAGGCUCACUUAAGCCCAGGAAGUUGAGCCUGCAGUGAUCCAUGAUGGGACCACUGCACUCCAGCCUGGGUGACAGAGUGAGACCCUGUCUCAA
Molecule: unclassified non-coding RNA, 148 nt
Organism: Macaca fascicularis (crab-eating macaque)
Lineage: Eukaryota; Metazoa; Chordata; Mammalia; Primates; Cercopithecidae
Rfam family: Metazoan signal recognition particle RNA
About the family: The signal recognition particle (SRP) is a universally conserved ribonucleoprotein. It is involved in the co-translational targeting of proteins to membranes.
Source: Ensembl